Molecule: long non-coding RNA, 311 nt
Organism: Hippocampus zosterae (dwarf seahorse)
Lineage: Eukaryota; Metazoa; Chordata; Actinopteri; Syngnathiformes; Syngnathidae
Exons: 2
Source: RefSeq, a predicted model, not a curated record
GAAGAGGAGGCCACUCUUCCCCCAACAGUUGCCUUCAGGGAUUUUGAAAGUCCAGCAGGUGUCAGUGGUCAGCGACACAGUAUCAACAGAGUGUGUCAUUGUGUCAACACGUUUCAUGACGCCCAUCACUAAGACAGGAAGGAGUUCUUUGAAUUGCCAUUGUAAGAGUACAGUCCGUGUUGUGAUGAGGUGACUUAUGUUUGUUUGCAAAACACUGUCUCUCGUGGCCAAAACUAUUCACAGCCUUGAAACGCCUCAGCACACUGUGUUGUUUGGGAAGCAACAUCACAGUGAUAUUUAUUUUUUAAAAA